GAUGAACGCUGGCGGCGUGCCUAAUACAUGCAAGUCGAGCGAACAGACGAGGAGCUUGCUCCCCUGACGUUAGCGGCGGACGGGUGAGUAACACGUGGAUAACCUACCUAUAAGACUGGGAUAACUUCGGGGAACCGGAGCUAAUACCGGAUAAUAUAUUGAACCGCAUGGUUCAAUAGUGAAAGACGGUUUUGCUGUCACUUAUAGAUGGAUCCGCGCCGCAUUAGCUAGUUGGUAAGGUAACGGCUUACCAAGGCAACGAUGCGUAGCCGACCUGAGAGGGUGAUCGGCCACACUGGAACUGAGACACGGUCCAGACUCCUACGGGAGGCAGCAGUAGGGAAUCUUCCGCAAUGGGCGAAAGCCUGACGGAGCAACGCCGCGUGAGUGAUGAAGGUCUUCGGAUCGUAAAACUCUGUUAUUAGGGAAGAACAAAUGUGUAAGUAACUAUGCACGUCUUGACGGUACCUAAUCAGAAAGCCACGGCUAACUACGUG
RNAcentral lists this ribosomal RNA (497 nucleotides) under uncultured bacterium. RNAcentral's name for it is "partial 16S ribosomal RNA". It matches the Rfam family "Bacterial small subunit ribosomal RNA", at positions 28 to 507 of the family's 1533-position model. The record is from RNAcentral.